Long non-coding RNA from Propithecus coquereli (Coquerel's sifaka), 299 nucleotides. RefSeq lists it as uncharacterized. The transcript is spliced from 3 exons. NCBI's taxonomy places the organism in Eukaryota, Metazoa, Chordata, Mammalia, Primates, Indriidae. The record is from RefSeq and is a predicted model, not a curated record.
CAACUUGAGGAAUGAAGGUAUGAACGACUAAGCUGACAUCUUCCUGUACAGAAUUUUAUCCUGUGUGCAGUAGUGCCCCUGUGAAUGUCUGUGGAGUGAAUGAGAAACAAACGUGAUUCUCCAUCUGGGAGGCCAUUUCUGAAUGUCCAAGCCCAGCUCAGAUGUCAUCUGCACCAUGAAGUCCAAACACCUUUGUGAGCCUUCUCUAAAGGAUUUAUUACGUUAUUCCCUGUGUUACAGUAAUUUGGCAGAAAAUCUACACUUGAGGAAAACUUGGCAUCACAAAGUUGCUUGGUAAG